RNAcentral lists this ribosomal RNA (468 nucleotides) under uncultured bacterium. Its description in RNAcentral is "partial 16S ribosomal RNA". It matches the Rfam family "Bacterial small subunit ribosomal RNA", at positions 28 to 507 of the family's 1533-position model. The record is from RNAcentral.
GAUGAACGCUGGCGGCGUGCUUAACACAUGCAAGUCGAACGGAAAGGCCCAAGCUUGCUUGGGUACUCGAGUGGCGAACGGGUGAGUAACACGUGGGUGAUCUGCCCUGCACUUCGGGAUAAGCCUGGGAAACUGGGUCUAAUACCGGAUAGGACGAUGGUUUGGAUGCCAUUGUGGAAAGUUUUUUCGGUGUGGGAUGAGCUCGCGGCCUAUCAGCUUGUUGGUGGGGUAAUGGCCUACCAAGGCGUCGACGGGUAGCCGGCCUGAGAGGGUGUACGGCCACAUUGGGACUGAGAUACGGCCCAGACUCCUACGGGAGGCAGCAGUGGGGAAUAUUGGACAAUGGGCGCAAGCCUGAUGCAGCGACACCGCGUGGGGGAUGACGGCCUUCGGGUUGUAAACUCCUUUCGCUAGGGACGAAGCGUUUUUGUGACGGUACCUGGAGAAGAAGCACCGGCUAACUACGUG